Long non-coding RNA from Neopsephotus bourkii (Bourke's parrot), 425 nucleotides. RefSeq lists it as uncharacterized. The transcript is spliced from 3 exons. The record is from RefSeq and is a predicted model, not a curated record. Lineage: Eukaryota; Metazoa; Chordata; Aves; Psittaciformes; Psittacidae.
UCUGGAGGGGAGUUGAGUAGCAUUGAAGCAAGAGAGGCUCUGGGCUCGGUAGCCAGUGCCUGGCAGAUGGGAUUUACUCUGCAGUGAUGAGGAGAAUGGGAGGCUGUGCUCCCCAGAACCAAAUCAUUUACUACUGGUCUCUUCCUGUGUUCCAGGAGAAGUAGAUGUGUGUGGGGGUGUCCCCACAGUCCUGCAGAGGAGUCUGCUGUGCAGUGCCAGAGCGGACAGGAAGGGAAUGGGAGGUGUGACAAUGGAGCUGCGCGCCAGUGACAGGGACCAGGGCUGUGCAGAUGGAGGAAGCUGUCGAGAGGGCUGAGGAGAAGCAGUGGCAGUCCCCAAGCCCACCACCAUCGCCGGUAAACGGAAGGCCACACAGGAGGAGCAUCUGCCUGCUGGUGCCUUGGGACAAUGAACCACUGGUGCUG